Molecule: ribosomal RNA, 497 nt
Filed under: uncultured bacterium
Lineage: Bacteria
Description: partial 16S ribosomal RNA
Rfam family: Bacterial small subunit ribosomal RNA
Source: RNAcentral
GAUGAACGCUGGCGGUGUGCCUAAUACAUGCAAGUCGAGCGAACAGACGAGGAGCUUACUCCUCUGACGUUAGCGGCGGACGGGUGAGUAACACGUGGAUAACCUACCUAUAAGACUGGGAUAACUUCGGGAAACCGGAGCUAAUACCGGAUAACAUGUUGAACCGCAUGGUUCAACAGUGAAAGACGGUCUUGCUGUCACUUAUAGAUGGAUCCGCGUCGCAUUAGCUAGUUGGUAAGGUAACGGCUUACCAAGGCAACGAUGCGUAGCCGACCUGAGAGGGUGAUCGGCCACACUGGAACUGAGACACGGUCCAGACUCCUACGGGAGGCAGCAGUAGGGAAUCUUCCGCAAUGGGCGAAAGCCUGACGGAGCAACGCCGCGUGAGUGAAGAAGGUCUUCGGAUCGUAAAACUCUGUUAUUAGGGAAGAACAAAUGUGUAAGUAACCAUGCACGUCUUGACGGUACCUAAUCAGAAAGCCACGGCUAACUACGUG